Molecule: ribosomal RNA, 546 nt
Filed under: uncultured Gigasporaceae
Lineage: Eukaryota; Fungi; Glomeromycota; Glomeromycetes; Diversisporales; Gigasporaceae
Description: SSU rRNA
Rfam family: Eukaryotic small subunit ribosomal RNA
Source: RNAcentral
UUGGAGGGCAAGUCUGGUGCCAGCAGCCGCGGUAAUUCCAGCUCCAAUAGCGUAUAUUAAAGUUGUUGCAGUUAAAAAGCUCGUAGUUGAAUUUCGGGGUUCUACCGUUGGUCGGGCUAUUGUCUGUACUGGCGUGUAGAAUUUCUACCUUCUGGGGAACUAUCAUGUUAUUAAUUUAGCGUGGUAGGAAACCAGAACCUUUACCUUGAAAAAAUUAGAGUGUUCAAAGCAGGCUUAUGUCUGAAUACAUUAGCAUGGAAUAAUAAAAUAGGACGGUGGUCCUGUUUUGUUGGUUUCUGAAUCACCGUAAUGAUUAAUAGGGAUAGUUGGGGGCAUUAGUAUUCAAUUGUCAUAGGUGAAAUUCUUGGAUUUAUUGAAGACUAACUACUGCGAAAGCAUUUGCCAAGGAUGUUUUCAUUAAUCAAGAACGAAAGUUAGGGGAUCGAAGACGAUCAGAUACCGUCGUAGUCUUAACCAUAAACUAUGCCGACUAGGGAUCGGAUGAUGUUAAUUUUUUAAUGACUCAUUCGGCGCCUUACGGGAAAC